GAUGAACGCUGGCGGCGUGCCUAAUACAUGCAAGUCGAGCGAACAGAUAAGGAGCUUGCUCCUUUGAAGUUAGCGGCGGACGGGUGAGUAACACGUGGGUAACCUACCUAUAAGACUGGGAUAACUUCGGGAAACCGGAGCUAAUACCGGAUAACAUUUAGAACCGCAUGGUUCUAAAGUGAAAGGUGGUUUUGCUAUCACUUAUAGAUGGACCCGCGCCGUAUUAGCUAGUUGGUAAGGUAACGGCUUACCAAGGCGACGAUACGUAGCCGACCUGAGAGGGUGAUCGGCCACACUGGAACUGAGACACGGUCCAGACUCCUACGGGAGGCAGCAGUAGGGAAUCUUCCGCAAUGGGCGAAAGCCUGACGGAGCAACGCCGCGUGAGUGAUGAAGGGUUUCGGCUCGUAAAACUCUGUUAUUAGGGAAGAACAAAUGUGUAAGUAACUGUGCACAUCUUGACGGUACCUAAUCAGAAAGCCACGGCUAACUACGUG
RNAcentral lists this ribosomal RNA (497 nucleotides) under uncultured bacterium. Its description in RNAcentral is "partial 16S ribosomal RNA". It matches the Rfam family "Bacterial small subunit ribosomal RNA", at positions 28 to 507 of the family's 1533-position model. The record is from RNAcentral.